Molecule: long non-coding RNA, 412 nt
Filed under: Homo sapiens (human)
Lineage: Eukaryota; Metazoa; Chordata; Mammalia; Primates; Hominidae
Description: long non-coding RNA NONHSAT189607.1
Source: RNAcentral
GUGAGUACAGGGAAGCAGCGGCCGCCAUUUCAGGGAGCUUGUCGACGCUGUCGCAGGGGUGGAUCCUGAGCUGCCGAAGCCGCCGUCCUGCUCUCCCGCGUGGGCUUCUCUAAUUCCAUUGUUUUUUUUAGAUUCUCUCGGGCCUAGCCGUCCUUGGAACCCGAUAUUCGGGCUGGGCGGUUCCGCGGCCUGGGCCUAGGGGCUUAACAGUAGCAACAGAAGCGGCGGCGGCGGCAGCAGCAGCAGCAGCAGCAGCAAUCUCUUCCCGAACACGAGCACCACAGGCGCCCGAAGGCCGGAACAGGCGUUUAGAGAAAAUGGCAGACGAUAUUGAUAUUGAAGCAAUGCUUGAGGCUCCUUACAAGAAGGAUGAGAACAAGUUGAGCAGUGCCAACGGCCAUGAAGAACGUAG